UAUCAUGCAGUCGAGGGGCAGCGCAGGUAACAAUACUGGGCGGCGACCGGCAAACGGGUGCGGAACACGUACGCAACCUUCCUUUCAGCGGGGAAUAGCCCAUAGAAAUGUGGAUUAAUACCCCAUUAGAUCGUGGACCGGCAUCGGUCAGCGAUUAAAGCUCCGGCACUGAGAGAUGGGCGUGCGUCUGAUUAGGUAGUUGGUGAGGUAACGGCUCACCAAGCCGACGAUCAGUAACUGGCGUGAGAGCGCGACCAGUCACACGGGCACUGAGACACGGGCCCGACUCCUACGGGAGGCAGCAGUAAGGAAUAUUGGUCAAUGGACGCAAGUCUGAACCAGCCAUGCCGCGUGGAGGAUGAAGGUCCUCUGGAUUGUAAACUUCUUUUAUCUGGGAAGAAAUGCCAUUUUUCUAAAUGGUUUGACGGUACCAGAUGAAUAAGCACCGGCUAACUCCGUGCCAGCAGCCGCGGUAAUACGGAGGGUGCAAGCGUUAUCCGGAUUCACUGGGUUUAAAGGGUGCGUAGGCGGAAUUGUAAGUCCGUGGUGAAAUCUCCGAGCUUAACUCGGAAACUGCCGUGGAUACUAUAGUUCUUGAAUGUUGUGGAGGUUAGCGGAAUAUGUCAUGUAGCGGUGAAAUGCUUAGAUAUGACAUAGAACACCGAUUGCGAAGGCAGCUGGCUACACAAAUAUUGACGCUGAGGCACGAAAAGCGUGGGGAUCAAACAGGAUUAGAUACCCUGGUAGUCCACGCCCUAAACGAUGAUUACUCGACAUUUGCGAUAUACAGCAAGUGUCUGAGCCGAAAGCAUUAAGUAAUCCACCUGGGAAGUACGACCGCCAAGGUUGAAAACUCAAAGGAAUUGACGGGGGUCCCCACAAGCGGGUGGAGCAUGUGGUUUAAUUCCAAUGAUACGCGGAGGAACCUUACCUGGGCCUAAAAUGCUUGGUUGA
Molecule: ribosomal RNA, 954 nt
Filed under: uncultured bacterium
Lineage: Bacteria
Description: bacterial SSU rRNA
Rfam family: Bacterial small subunit ribosomal RNA
Source: RNAcentral